GACGAACGCUGGCGGCAUGCCUAACACAUGCAAGUCGAACGGAGAUUAUUUCGGUAAUCUUAGUGGCGAACGGGUGAGUAACGCGUGGGCAACCUGCCCUCUAGAUGGGGACAACAUCCCGAAAGGGGUGCUAAUACCGAAUGUGACAGCAAUCUCGCAUGAGGAUGCUGUGAAAGAUGGCCUCUAUUUAUAAGCUAUCGCUAGAGGAUGGGCCUGCGUCUGAUUAGCUAGUUGGUGGGGUAACGGCCUACCAAGGCGAUGAUCAGUAGCCGGUCUGAGAGGAUGAACGGCCACAUUGGGACUGAGACACGGCCCAGACUCCUACGGGAGGCAGCAGUGGGGAAUCUUCCGCAAUGGGCGAAAGCCUGACGGAGCAAUGCCGCGUGAGUGAUGAAGGAAUUCGUUCCGUAAAGCUCUCUUGUUUAUGACGAAUGUGCAGGUUGUGAAUAAUGACUUGUAAUGACGGUAGUAAACGAAUAAGCCACGGCUAACUACGUGCCAGCCGCCGCCGUAA
This 514-nucleotide ribosomal RNA is filed under the name uncultured bacterium. Its description in RNAcentral is "partial 16S ribosomal RNA". It matches the Rfam family "Bacterial small subunit ribosomal RNA", at positions 28 to 523 of the family's 1533-position model. The record is from RNAcentral.